AGGAACCGGAAGUGGGGGAGCCAAGCUUGGAGGGGAGGGGCCUCCAUCCACAUUCCCAGAAGAGGAGGAAAAAAGAGGAAGAGCUUCCUGACAGUAAGAGCUGUUCAACAGUGGAAUUUGCUACCAAGAAAUCUGGUGGAGUCUCCUCCUUUGGAGGUCUUCAAGCGGAGGCUUGACAGCCAUCUGUCAG
Zootoca vivipara (common lizard) is the source of this 190-nucleotide long non-coding RNA. RefSeq lists it as uncharacterized. The record is from RefSeq and is a predicted model, not a curated record. Lineage: Eukaryota; Metazoa; Chordata; Lepidosauria; Squamata; Lacertidae.